RNAcentral lists this long non-coding RNA (368 nucleotides) under Carica papaya (papaya). Its description in RNAcentral is "long non-coding RNA (CPAP_LNC003519)". Lineage: Eukaryota; Viridiplantae; Streptophyta; Magnoliopsida; Brassicales; Caricaceae. The record is from RNAcentral.
GUAAAACAAUGGAUUAUCACUCAACUGUUCCUUGUUAAAUGCAGGUACAGAUAGAUGAGGAGAGGAAGGCCUCCACUAAAUUGAGUAGUCUCAGAGGGUUCGCUCAUAGAAGAUAUUGACCGGAUAUUUGAGAUGCUGGAAAGAUUCAUUGCUAUCAAGCAGGGCUGGAAGGAAAGGAGGGAGCUACCCAAUCCUCCCCCGCUGCCACAAGCGAAGCCACUCCUGCAACGAGAGGAUCCCGAGCCACCUCAGUACGACCAUGUUCCUCCAUAGUACCACCCGACACCACCACAGUAUGAUCAGGUGCACCAGCCACAGUACCACCCGGCACCAUCACAGUACAAUCUGGUGCCCCCCACCAUAUCAGC